AUUGAACGCUGGCGGCAGGCCUAACACAUGCAAGUCGAGCGAGCGGCGGACGGGUGAGUAAUGUCUGGGAAACUGCCUGAUGGGGGGGGAUAACUACUGGAAACGGUAGCUAAUACCGCAUACGAUGAGAGGUGCCCAUAUGGGAGUAGCUGGUAGGUGGGGUAACGGCUCACCUAGGCGACGAUCCCUAGCUGGUCUGAGAGGAUGACCAGCCACUCUGCAAUGGAGAUACGGUCCAGACUCGUACGUGAGGCAGCGUUGGGGAAUCUUGCACAAUGGGCGCUAGCCUGAUGCACCCAUGCCGAGUGUCUCAAGAAGGCCUUCGGGUUGUAAAGCACUUUCCGCGGGGGGGCGUUACCCGCAGAAGAAGCACCGGCUAACUCCGUGCCAGCAGCCGCGGUAAUAC
RNAcentral lists this ribosomal RNA (406 nucleotides) under uncultured bacterium. RNAcentral describes it as "partial 16S ribosomal RNA". It matches the Rfam family "Bacterial small subunit ribosomal RNA", at positions 30 to 526 of the family's 1533-position model. The record is from RNAcentral.